This 206-nucleotide ribosomal RNA is filed under the name uncultured bacterium. Its description in RNAcentral is "partial 16S ribosomal RNA". It matches the Rfam family "Bacterial small subunit ribosomal RNA", at positions 568 to 774 of the family's 1533-position model. The record is from RNAcentral.
UGCGUAGGCGGUCGGGUAAGUCUGACGUGAAAUCUCCAAGCCUAACUUGGAAACUGCGUUGGAUACUAUCCGGCUCGAGGAAUGGAGGGGAGACUGGAAUACUUGGUGUAGCAGUGAAAUGCGUAGAUAUCAAGUGGAACACAGUGGCGAAGGCGAGUCUCUGGACAUUUCCUGACGCUGAGGCACGAAAGCCAGGGGAGCAAACG